UAUGCAGCUGAUACGAUACAUCGGUGCUGUCAAAAAGUGGAAAAUGUUUCGUUGUUUUUUAAGUUCUUCAAUAAAUUAUUUAUUUAAUUACAAAGAUUGUGAACAUGACCAUAACAUCAAAAGCAAGCGUUCAAGUUUGUCGAAGAAGCAUAUGACAUGAUGUUGAUAACAAAUAAAAGGAAGACAUUUAAAUAAAUGAAGGUAAAUCCAUGUAUGGAGUUAUAAAGUUAUGAAGUAUGUAGUGUGCAGUUUGCAGUACGCAGUACGAAGAGUUGAAAUUUCCAUCGAAAUGCAGGAAGAGCAGAAGAAAAUAAAAAAUUGGAAGGAGAAUUAAUGGCUCAAGAUAGAAGAAAUGGUAUUACAAAGUAAGGUACAACAUUCUUUAAAUAGUUUGAUUAAUAACAACAAAUAAUUGUCUUAUACAAAUGAAAGUACAACGGUGCUGAUUGAAUUCUACUUAAAAUAUCAUAUAAUGUAACAAAAUUAUUUAUAGUAAUCACAGAGAUGCAUUAAAAUGCAUUUCUAUAAUAUUCUAUCUUUCUUAUUUUCUGUGUAAUAUUUUCUGUUUUUUCUUGUAAAAAAGAAAUCCAUAUGCAUCAUGAUAAAUACAAGGAUUAGCUUUUUUUAUGAGAGACAAGUACUAAUAUCAGUAUGCACUAUCGUUGGCACCGUUAUAAUUCAUACAUAAUCUGACGUCCAGCAUCCAAUAUGAAAUACAGCAUACUUCCAAUUAUUUUACUAAUUUUUAAAAAAGAUGAGUUACAUCUAGCAUAUUUAAAUUUUGUUGUUUUUUUUUAAGUUCAAAUUCUACAUGCUCAUAUUUACACAUCUGUUGGUAAUUAUGACAGUAUACUAAAUUAAAAAGUAUAAUAAAUCAAAUGUAUCAUUUAAUUU
Molecule: long non-coding RNA, 894 nt
Filed under: Polistes dominula (European paper wasp)
Lineage: Eukaryota; Metazoa; Arthropoda; Insecta; Hymenoptera; Vespidae
Description: uncharacterized LOC107068038, transcript variant X1
Source: RNAcentral